UACGUAGGAGGCGAGCGUUGUCCGGAUUUACUGGGCGUAAAGAGCGCGCAGGCGGCACACCAAGUACGGAGUGAAAUCUCCCUGCUCAACGGGGAGGGUGCUCUGUAAACUGGUGAGCUAGAGUCCGGAAGAGGAGAGUGGAAUUCCUGGUGUAGCGGUGAAAUGCGCAGAUAUCAGGAGGAACACCAAUUGCGAAGGCAGCUCGCUGGGACGUUACUGACGCUGAGACGCGAAAGCGUGGGGAGCAAACAGG
RNAcentral lists this ribosomal RNA (253 nucleotides) under uncultured bacterium. Its description in RNAcentral is "partial 16S ribosomal RNA". It matches the Rfam family "Bacterial small subunit ribosomal RNA", at positions 524 to 776 of the family's 1533-position model. The record is from RNAcentral.